GGCCCCAUCGUCUAGCGGUUAGGACAACGGGUUUUCAGCCCGUUUACACCAGUUCGAAUCUGGUUGGGGCUA
This 72-nucleotide transfer RNA is filed under the name Patescibacteria group bacterium. RNAcentral describes it as "tRNA-Glu". It matches the Rfam family "tRNA". From Rfam's summary of the family: Transfer RNA (tRNA) molecules are approximately 80 nucleotides in length. RNAcentral also lists the same sequence under 1 other name. The record is from RNAcentral.